This 433-nucleotide ribosomal RNA is filed under the name uncultured bacterium. RNAcentral describes it as "partial 16S ribosomal RNA". It matches the Rfam family "Bacterial small subunit ribosomal RNA", at positions 29 to 507 of the family's 1533-position model. The record is from RNAcentral.
AACGAACGCUGGCGGCAUGCCUAACACAUGCAAGUCGAACGAGACCUUCGGGUCUAGUGGCGCACGUGUGCGUAACGCGUGGGAACCUGCCCUUAGGUUCGGAAUAACUCCCCGAAAGGGGUGCUAAUACCGGAUAAUGUCUUCGGACCAAAGAUCUAUCGCCUUUGGAUGGGCCCGCGUUGGAUUAGCUAGUUGGUAGGGUAAAAGCCUACCAAGGCGACGAUCCAUAGCUGGUCUGAGAGGAUGAUCAGCCACACUGGGACUGAGACACGGCCCAGACUCCGACGGGAGGCAGCAGUGGGGAAUAUUGGACAAUGGGCGAAAGCCUGAUCCAGCAAUGCCGCGUGAGUGAUGAAGGCCUUAGUGUUGUAAAGCCCUUUUACCCGGGAUGAUAAUGACAGUACCGGGAGAAUAAGCUCCGGCUAACUCCGUG